UACGGGAGGCAGCAGUGGGGAAUAUUGCACAAUGGGCGCAAGCCUGAUGCAGCCAUGCCGCGUGUAUGAAGAAGGCCUUCGGGUUGUAAAGUACUUUCAGUCGUGAGGAAGGUGUUAAGGUUAAUAACCUUAGCAAUUGACGUUAGCGACAGAAGAAGCACCGGCUAACUCCGUGCCAGCAGCCGCGGUAAUACGGAGGGUGCGAGCGUUAAUCGGAAUUACUGGGCGUAAAGGGCACGCAGGCGGUUAAUUAAGUUGGAUGUGAAAUCCCCGGGCUUAACCUGGGAAUGGCAUUCAAGACUGGUUAGCUAGAGUCUUGUAGAGGGGGUAGAAUUCCAUGUGUAGCGGUGAAAUGCGUAGAGAUGUGGAGGAAUACCGGCGGCGAAGGCGGCCCCCUGGACAAAGACUGACGCUCAUGUGCGAAAGCGUGGGGAGCAAAC
This 440-nucleotide ribosomal RNA is filed under the name uncultured bacterium. Its description in RNAcentral is "bacterial SSU rRNA". It matches the Rfam family "Bacterial small subunit ribosomal RNA", at positions 340 to 773 of the family's 1533-position model. The record is from RNAcentral.